Non-coding RNA from Mycena vulgaris, 93 nucleotides. The record is from the annotation of a GenBank genome assembly. Lineage: Eukaryota; Fungi; Basidiomycota; Agaricomycetes; Agaricales; Mycenaceae.
GAACUGAUAGCAUAAUUGGAUAGUGCACCUACUCAAGUUGACCCGUGGAACAAGAUUCAGUAGUAGGUCCCCGUUCGAUCCGGGGUCAGGUCA